Molecule: long non-coding RNA, 1365 nt
Filed under: Salmo salar (Atlantic salmon)
Lineage: Eukaryota; Metazoa; Chordata; Actinopteri; Salmoniformes; Salmonidae
Description: lncRNA (ENSSSAG00000105244.1)
Source: RNAcentral
CUCGUGCGGGGCUCACGACAGCUAUAUCUCCAAGCAUCUCAAAUUAAUGCUUCGGAAUUAUUGCGAAAAGGUACGAAUUAAACAAAAAUAUUUGGUUGUCCAAGAUGAUCAGGGGUGAUAAUCAAAAAGAUUUGUCAUCAACAAUACUUUCUGGCCUGCACACACUCGUGCGCGUUCGUGAUCACAAUGGAAAUGAAAGCGAAGGUAACUGACCGAAACGACUAUAGCCCCGUAGCAUUCACUUCUGCCAUCAUGAACUGCUUUGAGAAUCUAGUUAAGGAUCAUAUCACCUCCAAUUUACCCGACACCCGAGACUCAUUACAAUUUGCAUACGGAUUCCACGGACGACGCAAUCGCCAUUGUACUGCACACUGCCCUAUCCCACCUGGACAAGAGGAAUACCUAUGUACGAAUGCUGUUCAUUGACUACAGCUCAGCCUUCAAUACCAUAGUGCCCUCCUAGCUCAUCACUAAGCUCAGACUGCUGAGUCUGAACCCCUCCCUGUGCAACUGGGUCCUAGACUUCCUGACUGGCCAAGGCCAACCAGGUGGUGAAGGUAGGCAACAAUACCUCCACCACUCUGAUCCUCAACAUAGCAGCCACACAGGGGUGCAUGCUCAGCUCCCUGCUGUACUUCCUGUUCCUGUUCACCCAUGACUGCGUGACCACACACAUCUCCCACUCAAUCAAGUUUACUGAUGACACCACAGUGGUAGGCCUGAUUACCAACAACGAUGAGACAGCCUACAGGGAGGAGGUGAGAGCCCUGGCAGAGCGGUGCCAGGAAAAUAACCUGUCCCUCAAUGGAAACAAAACGAAGCAGCAGAUCUUGGACAUCAGGAGAUGGCAGAGAGAACACGCCCCCAUCCACACCGACGGAGCUGCAGCAGAGGGUCAAAAGCUUCAAGUUCUCUGCAUGCACAUCACUGAGGAUCUGAAAUGGUCCCUUCACACCGACCGGUGCAACCGCGCCUCUUCAAUAGGCUGAAGAAAUUCAGCUUGCCCCCCCCCCCCCCCAGCCACGGCCUGUUAACCCCACUACCAUCCAGAAGGCGGAGACAGUACAAGUGCAUCAAAGCUGGGACCGAGAGACUGAAAAACAGCUUCUAUCUCCAGGCCAUCAGACUGUUAAACAGUCACCACUAGCCAGCCUCCGCCCAGUACCCUGCCCUGAACCUCAGACACUGUCACUAGCCAGCUAGCACCCAGUACUCUACCCUGCACCUUAAACUGCUGACCUAUGUACAUAGUAAUUGAACAUACCAUUUUAGCCACUAUGUAUUCUACUCAUUGCUCACUCUAACUAUUGCUAUACACAUCUAUUCACAUACAUAUAUUCUGGAGUCUUUCAGAAGCUAAUUUCC